This 509-nucleotide ribosomal RNA is filed under the name uncultured bacterium. Its description in RNAcentral is "bacterial SSU rRNA". It matches the Rfam family "Bacterial small subunit ribosomal RNA", at positions 36 to 518 of the family's 1533-position model. The record is from RNAcentral.
CUGGCGGCGUGCCUAAUACAUGCAAGUCGAACGGUCUUUCUAUGGAAGCUUGCUUCCACUGAGAAGAUAGUGGCGAACGGGUGAGUAACACGUGGGUAACCUGCCCAUAAGAGGGGGAUAACAUCCGGAAACGGGUGCUAAUACCGCAUAGUUUUCUUGAUCGCAUGAUCGGGAAAGGAAAGACGGCCUUUGUGCUGUCGCUUAUGGAUGGACCCGCGGCGUAUUAGUUAGUUGGUGAGGUAACGGCUCACCAAGACGAUGAUACGUAGCCGACCUGAGAGGGUGAUCGGCCACAUUGGGACUGAGACACGGCCCAAACUCCUACGGGAGGCAGCAGUAGGGAAUCUUCCGCAAUGGACGAAAGUCUGACGGAGCAACGCCGCGUGAGUGAAGAAGGUUUUCGGAAUCGUAAAACUCUGUUGUCAGAGAAGAACAAGUUGGAGAGUAACUGCUCCAGCCUUGACGGUAUCUGACCAGAAAGCCACGGCUAACUACGUGCCAGCAGCAGC